UACAGAGGGCCCAAGCGUUGUUCGGAUUCAUUGGGCGUAAAGGGUGCGUAGGCGGCGCGGUAAGUCGGGUGUGAAAUCUCGGAGCUUAACUCCGAAACUGCAUUCGAUACUGCCGUGCUUGAGGACUGGAGAGGAGACUGGAAUUUACGGUGUAGCGGUGAAAUGCGUAGAUAUCGUAAGGAAGACCAGUGGCGAAGGCGGGUCUCUGGACAGUUCCUGACGCUGAGGCACGAAGGCCAGGGGAGCAAACGGG
Molecule: ribosomal RNA, 253 nt
Filed under: uncultured bacterium
Lineage: Bacteria
Description: partial 16S ribosomal RNA
Rfam family: Bacterial small subunit ribosomal RNA
Source: RNAcentral